CUAACUAUCGCAGUCCGAUCGAAAGCAAAUAAUCGGACCAAUCCAAUGCCGCACUUUUCCAUUCCAUCGUACGGCCCGCAUACAUUGAGGCUUCACAAGAGAAAAAAAAACAAAUUGUGGCCUGAUAACGUCUCCUCCCCGAAAUUACCGUGUGGUACACAGCUCCUGGAUUUCUCAUCCCAAAUCCUUAUGUCGCCGCAUGUGCUCUCACCAUCGCGCCGCCACUCCUCUCACCUCCACGCCUCCACCUCUCACCCUUCCCAAACGUGCGCCUCCACCUGGUUCGGGCCCUGCAUCUGCACGCAUCUGCUCAGCCACGGGAAGCUUUCAUCGGGGCCUCCCUGACCGGCAGCGGCCGGCGGCCAGCGGUCUGGAGUAGGCGGCGGCAUAGCCGUACCGACCAAGAUACACUCCACACGAACUAGCAGAUCAGAGUCUGCUUCCUUAAUGACUACACGAUCCGGGAGUAGCACACAUCUCCAUACCAUGGAGGAGGCCGAGCCAGAUUCUAUGGUGAAAGGUUGCUUUGUAGUGUGGUCUUGUAGUUUCUAGGACUUGAUGGGUGUCCUCCCUCCGACUCCUUUCACACCGAUGUUCAGUCCAUCCACACAUGCCGGUGGUGGUGACUAGUGAUUUCGAUUGGAAGCAUGUACUAGUGAGUUCUGAAGCAAUACCAGUACACCUAGGAAGCAACUAACUUGAAUGUGUACCACAUAUGUGUUGAUCCUUUGUUGAAGCAAGAAAUGAAGGAAGCAUGUUUCAUUUA
Lolium perenne is the source of this 766-nucleotide long non-coding RNA. RefSeq lists it as uncharacterized. Lineage: Eukaryota; Viridiplantae; Streptophyta; Magnoliopsida; Poales; Poaceae. The record is from RefSeq and is a predicted model, not a curated record.